UACGUAGGUGGCAAGCGUUAUCCGGAUUUACUGGGUGUAAAGGGAGCGCAGGCGGCACGGCAAGCCUGAUGUGAAAGCCCGCGGCCCAACCGCGGGACUGCAUUGGGAACUACCGGGCUGGAGUGCCGGAGAGGUAGGCGGAAUUCCUAGUGUAGCGGUGAAAUGCGUAGAUAUUAGGAGGAACACCAGUGGCGAAGGCGGCCUACUGGACGGUGACUGACGCUGAGGCUCGAAAGCGUGGGGAGCAAACAGG
Molecule: ribosomal RNA, 253 nt
Filed under: uncultured bacterium
Lineage: Bacteria
Description: partial 16S ribosomal RNA
Rfam family: Bacterial small subunit ribosomal RNA
Source: RNAcentral